UGGCGAAACGAAACUUGUGAAUCGUGCAUUUGCUCUUCAUGGUAGCUGCCAGAAAAUCGAAUCAAACUUACGGGACAUUGGAUUACCGGUUGCUGCCACUACUCCAUGUGCCCGCAAUUGUCUUGCGUGUAUGAUUACACUUAUGUCGUCGCCCACCACGGCGGAAGUAUUUUGCGUACACGCGUUUCAGCAUGAAGCCUGCAGGUGGACGUAAAUUGUAGAAGGCAGCUAGUGGGGGAGAAGAUCAUGGUCAUAGGUCAUGUGACUCCUGGAGCUCCCAGUGGGCUCCCUUGUGGAGUACUUUUCAGAACACACACACACACACACAGUUUGCUCACAGAACCAACGAGUAGGAUGUUGCUUGAAUACUGAGAGAAAAUGGCGUAACACAUACAAAUAUCGUGUGACACAUAUGACAAUAAAAACAUUUUUCACGAGGGAUGCAUGAAACACUGUCGCAAUAUUGUGUGCAUGAACCAUUGUGUGUGACACAAGCCGUGGGGGCACACCGCCUCGGACACAUUUUGGGAAGCAUAAAACACAGUAUAUACAGAGCUACUAUGGUGGAUGCUUCUUUUUUCUUUUUGGCCGUUAUGAGACAUCUUCGGCCGUAAUGAGACUACCUUCGGCCGUAUUGAGACUUUGGCCGUAACGAGACACUUGGGGAUUAAAGGAUUUUCGGCCGUAAUGAGACUUUCGGCC
Long non-coding RNA from Ornithodoros turicata, 702 nucleotides. RefSeq lists it as uncharacterized. The transcript has 3 exons. The record is from RefSeq and is a predicted model, not a curated record. NCBI's taxonomy places the organism in Eukaryota, Metazoa, Arthropoda, Arachnida, Ixodida, Argasidae.